AUUGAACGCUGGCGGCAGGCCUAACACAUGCAAGUCGAGCGGCAGCACGGGUACUUGUACCUGGUGGCGAGCGGCGGACGGGUGAGUAAUGCCUAGGAAUCUGCCUGGUAGUGGGGGAUAACGCUCGGAAACGGACGCUAAUACCGCAUACGUCCUACGGGAGAAAGCAGGGGACCUUCGGGCCUUGCGCUAUCAGAUGAGCCUAGGUCGGAUUAGCUAGUUGGUGAGGUAAUGGCUCACCAAGGCGACGAUCCGUAACUGGUCUGAGAGGAUGAUCAGUCACACUGGAACUGAGACACGGUCCAGACUCCUACGGGAGGCAGCAGUGGGGAAUAUUGGACAAUGGGCGAAAGCCUGAUCCAGCCAUGCCGCGUGUGUGAAGAAGGUCUUCGGAUUGUAAAGCACUUUAAGUUGGGAGGAAGGGCAGUUACCUAAUACGUAUCUGUUUUGACGUUACCGACAGAAUAAGCACCGGCUAACUCUGUGC
RNAcentral lists this ribosomal RNA (487 nucleotides) under uncultured bacterium. RNAcentral's name for it is "bacterial SSU rRNA". It matches the Rfam family "Bacterial small subunit ribosomal RNA", at positions 30 to 508 of the family's 1533-position model. The record is from RNAcentral.